RNAcentral lists this ribosomal RNA (564 nucleotides) under Streptomyces sp. 337B11. RNAcentral describes it as "bacterial SSU rRNA". It matches the Rfam family "Bacterial small subunit ribosomal RNA", at positions 93 to 671 of the family's 1533-position model. Lineage: Bacteria; Bacillati; Actinomycetota; Actinomycetes; Kitasatosporales; Streptomycetaceae. The record is from RNAcentral.
UAGUGGCGAACGGGUGAGUAACACGUGGGCAAUCUGCCCUUCACUCUGGGACAAGCCCUGGAAACGGGGUCUAAUACCGGAUAACACUUCCUGCCGCAUGGCGGGGGGUUAAAAGCUCCGGCGGUGAAGGAUGAGCCCGCGGCCUAUCAGCUUGUUGGUGGGGUGAUGGCCUACCAAGGCGACGACGGGUAGCCGGCCUGAGAGGGCGACCGGCCACACUGGGACUGAGACACGGCCCAGACUCCUACGGGAGGCAGCAGUGGGGAAUAUUGCACAAUGGGCGAAAGCCUGAUGCAGCGACGCCGCGUGAGGGAUGACGGCCUUCGGGUUGUAAACCUCUUUCAGCAGGGAAGAAGCGCAAGUGACGGUACCUGCAGAAGAAGCGCCGGCUAACUACGUGCCAGCAGCCGCGGUAAUACGUAGGGCGCAAGCGUUGUCCGGAAUUAUUGGGCGUAAAGAGCUCGUAGGCGGCUUGUCACGUCGGAUGUGAAAGCCCGGGGCUUAACCCCGGGUCUGCAUUCGAUACGGGCUAGCUAGAGUGUGGUAGGGGAGAUCGGAAUUCCU